Molecule: RNA transcript, 4405 nt
Organism: Eubalaena glacialis (North Atlantic right whale)
Lineage: Eukaryota; Metazoa; Chordata; Mammalia; Artiodactyla; Balaenidae
Gene: AFAP1L1
Gene name: actin filament associated protein 1 like 1
Exons: 20
Source: RefSeq, a predicted model, not a curated record
CCAGCGGGCGGGACUGGAGAGCGCCGCACGCCCGCAGCCGCCGGCCCCGCCGGAGGCACCGCACCCUGCUCCGCGCGACCGAUCGCCGGCGCCAUGGACCGAGGCCGCGUGCUGGAGCAGCUGCUCCCCGAGCUCACAGGGCUGCUCAGCCUCCUGGACCAUGAGUACCUCAGCGACACCACCCUGGAGAAGAAGAUGGCUGUGGCCUCCAUCCUGCAGAGCCUGCAGCCCCUCCCAGCCAAAGAAGUCUCCUACCUGUAUGUGAACACAGCGGACCUCCAUUCCGGGCCCAGCUUUGUGGAGUCCCUCUUUGAAGAAUUUGACUGUGACCUGAGCGACCUUCGAGACAUGACAGAGGACGACGGGGAGUCCUGCAAAGAAGCCACCCCUGAGCCAGCCAAGAGCCCAUCUCUGAGACACGCAGCCGACUUGCCUCCACCGCUCCCCAAAAGGCCUCCACCUGAGGACUACUAUGAGGAGGCCCUUCCCCUGGGGCCUGGCAAGUCCCCCGAGUAUAUCAGCUCCCACAACGACUGCAGCCCAGCCCACUCGAUUGUGGACAGCUACUACGAGGAUGCAGACAGCAGCUACCCCGCGACCAGGAUGAAUGGGGAGCUGAAGAACUCUUACAAUGACUCUGACGCCAUGAGCAGCUCCUACGAGUCCUAUGAUGAGGAGGAGGAGGAAGGGAAAGGGCCGCAGCCCACACACCAGUGGCCUUCAGACGAGGCCUCCAUGCACCUGGUGAGGGACUGCAGGAUAUGUGCCUUCCUGCUGCGGAAAAAGCGCUUCGGGCAGUGGGCCAAGCAGCUGACCGUCAUCAAGGAGGACCAGCUCCUGUGUUACAAAAGCUCCAAGGACCGGCAGCCACAUCUGAGGCUAGCGCUGGAUGUCUGCAACGUCAUCUACGUGCCCAAGGACAGCCGGCACAAGAGGCACGAGCUGCGCUUCUCCCAGGGGGCCACCGAAGUCCUGGUGCUGGCACUGCAGAGCCGGGAGCAGGCCGAGGAGUGGCUGAAGGUCAUCCGAGAGGUCAGCAAGUCCGUUGGGGGUGCUGAGGGGGCAGAUGUGCCCAGAUCCCCAGUCCUCCUGUGCAAGGUGGACCUGGACAAGGGGGCUGUCUGUGUCCCUCCCCAGAGGCUGUCCCAAGAGAAGCAGACCUCGGAUUCCGACAGCAUGGGCCUGGGCGACAACUGUUCCACCCUUGGCCGCGAACACGGUAGGAGCCUCUGGGGGCUCAGGCUGGAAAAUGCUAGAGCUGGAAGAGGCCUUGCCACAAGCACACAGUGCAGAGCAGGUCCUGACCACUCUGGAGACCUAGGUGAUGUGACCUGGCCUAUCCAUACCUGGAGCUGUAGGCCAAGCCCUGUGUGCAGGCUGAAAGGCAAAGGGAAGAAGAGCAGCCUGUCAGAGCUGAAGGGUUCAAUGAGCAGGGCUGCGGGCCGCAAGAUCACCCGUAUCAUCAGCUUCUCUAAGAAGAAGGCACUGGCCGAUGACCUGCAGACAUCCUCUACCGAGGAGGAGGUUCCAUGCUGUGGUUAUCUGAAUGUGCUGGUGAACCAUGGCUGGAAGGAACGCUGGUGCCGCCUAAAGUGCAACACCUUGUAUUUCCAUAAGGACCGCACGGACCUGCGGACCCACGUGAAUGCUAUCGCCCUCCACGGUUGUGAGGUGGCCCCAAGCUUUGGGCCCAGACACCCAUUUGCCUUCAGGAUCCUGCGCAACCGGCAGGAGGUCGCCAUCUUGGAGGCAAGCUGCUCCGAGGACAUGGGCCGCUGGCUCGGGCUGCUGCUGGUGGAGAUGGGCUCCAAAGUCACUCCCGAAGCACUGCAUUAUGACUACGUGGACGUGGAGACCUUAACCAGCAUCGUCAGUGCAGGGCGCAACUCCUUCCUAUAUGCAAGAUCCUGCCAGGAUCAGUGGCCUGAGCCCCGAGUCUAUGAUGAUGUUCCUUAUGAAAAGAUGCAGGACGAGGAGCCUGAGCGUCCCUCUGGAGCCCAGAUCAAGCGCCAUGCCUCCACCUGCAGUGAGAAGUCCCAUCGGGCAGACCCACAGGUCAAAGUCAAGCGCCAUGCCUCCAGUGCCCAUCAAUAUAAGUACGGUAAGAACCGAGCUGAGGAGGAUGCCAGGAGGUACCUGGUAGAAAAAGAAAAGCUGGAGAAAGAGAAAGAGACAAUCCGGACAGAGCUGAUGGCACUGCGGCAGGAAAAGAGGGAACUAAAGGAAGCCAUUCGGAACAGCCCAGGGGCAAAGUUAAAAGCUCUGGAAGAGGCCUUGGCCACCCUGGAAGCUCAGUGUAGGGCGAAGGAAGAGGGCCGUAUCGACCUGGAGCUGCGGCUGGUGGCUGUGAAGGAGCGCUUGCAGCAGUCCCUGGCAGGGGGCCCAGCCCUGGGGCUCUCCGUGAACAGCAAGAACAAGAGCGGGGAAACAGCAAAUAAACCCCAGAACAAUGCCCCAGAGCAACCUCUCCCUGUCAAUUGUGUUUCUGAGCUGCGGAAGAGGAGCCCAUCCAUCGUAACCUCUAACCAAGGAAGAGUGCUACAAAAAGCCAAGGGCUGACUGGAAAUGCCAUGGAUUUUUUAUGGGUAAAAAGCCAUUCACUGCUGGCCCUGACUUCAGUAUUCAUCUCAGGAAUGGGAAAUGAAGAAGACCUAGAAAGAGGAUGAGGAUUUCAUCCAAAGGAGAUAACACCUUGUCCAUCCAAGGCAGAAAUGCUUUUUUCACAAGGAGACACCAGAAGACUGGAAGUAGCCCACACUCUCUGGGGCACCCAAAAGACCAGCCUUUAUUGUCUGCAUGAUUAUAGGGGACAUGGGGAGGGAAGAAGUAGGAGAGAAGAGGGAAAUGGAGGGCAUCCUUAUAACUUUACAGAGGGUGGAAAUGGGGGUGGAGGGAGACAGAAAUCUGCACAGUCGUAAAGGUUUUGUUAAAUGUCUUUGCCUUCCCUUCUAAAGAAGAAAUGAAAGCACAUGUGAAUAAGCCAUUCCACCCCAUUCUCAGCAUCCCAUUCCCAGUCCUUAGGAAAAAGGAAGGCAGUGCUGAGGCAUCGGUGGUACAGUAUAAAGAGACAGGACCUGAUCAUCUGAUCCUGCUUGUGCCGAAUGGAUUCAUACUGGGCAUUACUGACAACCGCUGGGCAAGAUAAAUAGGCUGAAAAAUCAAUACAGUUAUCCCUAACUUGCAUGAAGUGAACAAAAACUACAGAGAUCAUGCAAAUUCUACAAUCAUUCCUCAUGAUUAUAGAAUCCUCAUGAUGCAGAAUCCAGAAUCCCUGAUUUGAGUGUUUACAAAUCAGAGAUCUGGCAAAGAGGGGUUCAGCAGGCAAAGAGAGGUUCAGCAGCUGACAUACUUUAAGCUCACAGUGCUACUCAGUGACAGAAGCAUGGAUUUCUAAUGUCCACAGGAUGUUGCAGGCAUUGUAGGAUGGGGUCAUUUGCUGUCAAUCAAGUCCCCUACCUAAUUUAUAUGGCACUCAGGUUCUGGGAGCUAUGGCUAGAAAUCCAGGUGACACUCCUUGUCUUUAACCUUACCUUGCACUUGGAGGCCCACCAGUCUGCCCUUUCAUACCUGCUAUCAAGUAAAACUAUCAAGGAGAACCAAGAGGAUGGUGGCUCAUUUCUGCCACAGGGGUGCUAAAUUUUUACAUACACUUGAUACUUUUAUAGGGGAGCAAGGACCUCAAGUCCCAGGCAGUCUCCUAACUGCGCCACUCACUACUUUCUCAACACUGUAGGCACUUUAUAGGUCUUUACCACCUUUCCCUCCAAUAAGGAUAAAACCAUUUAACUGUAUAAGCUCAGAGGUUAGCUCAAGGGGAAAGAAGAGAAAUCCCAGAAUAACCUCUGGACACUUUGCUAGAGGCUGCACACACUUUUCUUACCUAAGACUUUACAUACUUGAGCCUCACCCAAAUUUUAUCACCCUCUGAGGUAGCUAGAGACCAAAGCAAGUAAAAUAACCUAACCAAAAGCACCUGGCUGCCAGUGGCAGAACAUAAGACUUAGGGCUAAUGAGCCUGGAUCCAGACAAGGCUGCUUGAGCCCUGCCUCUGCCACUUACCAGCUGUGACUCUGACCUCUCUGAUUGUUUUCCUUACCUGUGAAAACCAUGUUAACAAUUGUACUCUUCUCCCGAGACUACUGGGGGAAAACCCAGUUAACAACUAUACUUUCCUCCCAAGACUACUGGGGGAAUUCAAUGAGUUAAUACACAGGAAACAUCUUGUACAGCGUCCAAGGAAUAGGAAAUGUUCAGCCAUAGUGGUUCUUCUUAUUAGCUAGAUAAGAAACGUCUGACUCAAAAUCCUGUGUCCUUUCCACGGAAGAAGAAAUGACUUUCAUGUGGUUAUUACAACCACCAAAAGCUAAAAGGCAACCAAUCUAUAACUGACAGCUUUCAUCCAGAU